GCUGACUCUUUUCAGACUCAGCCCGCCUGCACCCAGGUGAAAUAAACAGCCAUGUUGCUCACACAAAGACUGUUUGGUGGUCUCUUCACACGGACAUGCAUGAAAUUUGGUGCCGUGACUCGGAUCGGGGGACCUCCCUUGGGAGAUCAAUCCCCUGUCCUCCUGCUCUUUGCUCCAUGAAAAAGAUCCACCUACGACCUCAGGUCCUCAGACCCACCAGCCCAAGGAACAGCUCACCGAUUUUAAAUCGGAGAAGUUUACAAAACAGGGAGGAAGACUUCUACACCUCACAGCCAGGAUUCCCUGCUCUGGCUCUCGGCUGCUGCCUCAGGGUGAAUCUGUUGC
Molecule: non-coding RNA, 345 nt
Filed under: Pan troglodytes (chimpanzee)
Lineage: Eukaryota; Metazoa; Chordata; Mammalia; Primates; Hominidae
Source: RNAcentral